Non-coding RNA from Phoenix dactylifera (date palm), 3067 nucleotides. The record is from RefSeq and is a predicted model, not a curated record. Lineage: Eukaryota; Viridiplantae; Streptophyta; Magnoliopsida; Arecales; Arecaceae.
UCGGCUGUUACCCGUCUAUUUUCAGCGGGCGGCGAAUCCGAGCCGUAUCAUGCGGGAUUCGAACGAGAGUAAUGGUGGUGAUGACGUGGCAUCUCCAUGAGCUUCACCUCCCGGCGCUCUCCUCCUCUGGGGUUAGCUGGCUCUAGGGUGUGGGUUUGGGGUGCGCGGUCGAGUGCUUGUUCCCUCGGAUUGGAGCGGAUUUGGGGCCGCCGGCGGCGGUGGACGGGGCGAUGCUGCGGUUUUGGUACCAGUACCAAUCCCACAAGGGCGGCGCGUUCGCUGCCCUUCUGGUAGUCCUUCUCCCGGUGUUCUGCCCUUCUCUUUUCUUCCCUCUCGGCCACGCCUCUCCUUCCAUCUUCUCGGAGUGGAAUGCCCCUAAACCUAGGCAGAUGUCUCUUCUGAUGGGUGCUUUACAACGCCAAAUAUCGGAUGAGCAGAAUUCUGAGCUCUGGCCCCCCUUGGCACACAAAAGAUGGGGACCAUGUAUUGAAACUGAAAACAACCCUGUAUUGAUACCUACUAAGUCAUCUGAUAUAUUCAAGUAUUCCUUGAUGGCGGGUUGAACCAACAGAGAAUGGGAUUUGUGACGCAGUUGCUGUUGCUAAAAUUUUAAAUGCAACCCUUGUGAUACCUCACCUUGAAGUGAAUCCUGUUUGGAAAGACUCAAGCUCCUUUGAAGAUAUUUAUGAUGUGGAUCACUUUAUUAAUGUGUUGAAAGAUGAGAUAUCAAUAGUUAGAGAAUUGCCUCAAGAAUUCUCAUGCAGCACAAGAGAGUAUUAUGCUUUGGUUAUUCGAGCUACUAGAGUUAAAACUGCAUCAGUUGAUGCUUCAGCGAAAUGGUAUAUUGAGAAUGUUGCUCCCCUUCUUCAGAGAAACUGUUCCGCAGAUAUUUCUGUUCAAGGCUUUUCUAGAUACUUUAGAACAGGGAAGCAAAACAAAGUCUGAUAGACAAAUCAAUGAUGAUACAUUGAAUCAGUUGGGCCAGAAUGCAUGCUUGGGACUUCAGCUGGCAGGCCACAACCCAUAUCAGUCGGAUGGUCUGAAUUUGAUUUGUGAAAAGAAGUUCAAACCUCGAGCUGAAGUUAAACUACAAGAAGCAAUCCUAGAUUUCCAAAUGAAUGGCUUUGAGCUGCCCAGGCCCAGAUAUGAUGCCAGUAUUCAGAUAUGGACUUCUACCUGUGGUCCGUGUGGUCUUCCUGUAUUUGCUAAGAACUCUUACCCCCAAGUAAGUUCUUGUGGAUUUACUUUAUAAUUUUGUUUAUGUCAAUCGUUUGCUAAGAUCAUUUGAUAUUGGUAAUAUGAACAACUAAAAUGGGGGAGCUAUGCAAGGUGACAACAGUAAGCAUAAGAAAUAAUAUGGCAUCACGAGUAACCAAAGCUUUUGAAUACUUGAAGUACAUGAAGUAGCAAGUACAACUGAAGUAAUUCGUACAAAGUAUAUGCUUUUCAACCUUUUUUUGAUGUUAAACUCAGCAAGCAUGGUUUUGCUGGUGACUGGCGUUGGCAAAAAUUACACUUCAGCUGCUGGCACAGAUGCAGUGCUUUAUUCCCUUUUCCUGCUGAAGCCAAUUUUAGUUGCAGUCACAGGGGCAUGACUAUGAAUUGCCAAGCACUUCUGCCAGACAUUCCUUGUCAUAUGAUCAUAUUGAUGUUUUUCAAUAUGACACCCCUUUUAAUGAUAAACUGGGAAAAUGGCAUAUGACUGAAUCAAUCAAUUUCAGAAUCUACAUGCUUAAGCCUUCAUUUAACAUUGGGCAUAUAUUUGCAAUCUCAGCAUGCAUGCAUACAUUGUUGAGUUCUUAAUACUGCAUUUUUCAUGUCUUCAAGUUACUUCCUUGGCUUAUUUUUUCUUGUAAGGGUGUUCCCCUAGUAUCUUAGGUCCCUGUUAAAUUAUCAUCAUAAGAAACAUGAAAUGCAAAACAAAGUUCCAAGCUGGAUGCAUAACAUCUAAUGUUCUGACGUAUUAGGGAAGAAACUGAAUAUAUUUAUGUGUUCCAUUUGCUUCAAUUAAUAUUUUUCAGUGAUCGUGUAGUAUAAAGUUACUGUGACUCUCCGACACAUAAUUUUGACAGGUACCAAGCUGCUUCCUAGGAAUGCAUGCAAAGGUGGAUUGCUAGGACUAUGGUUUCUGAAAAGCUCUUUAUCUGGAUGUGAAUGGCCUUGUCUUCCUGUUGCUGAUGAUUACUUAAUCUACAAAUUGGUCUCCAAUUUCAGUUUCUAUUGAGGUUCGUAUUACUUUCCUUGCAGCAACCAAUAGGACUUCAUGACUUGUAGCAUAGUUGCAUUGCGAACUUGGUACAAGCAGGUUUGACGGCAUUUACUGCUGCUGAUUGGCACAACUCUCCAGCUGUUGUCAAGAUUUUUCCCCUUCUCUCUUUUUUCAUACAAUCAUCGGAAAAAAGGGUACAUAUACUAAUGGUAAUUAUGUUCUCAUUGUUAUGCUUGUUCAGCAACCUGGCCAGCAUCAAAAAAAAAAAAAAUUACAUACUGCUUCUCGGAUCGUCUUAGUUAUCAUACCUCUUAUCUGGAAAGAUCCUUGUAAAUUAUAUUAUAAUUGUCUCCUCUUGGCCUGCUUACAUGGCCAGAAAGUUUUUGUUCUUGUAAAUUAUACACAAGCAGAAAAGCUUCAAAGCCUGUAAUACAUGUAAAAAGAGAUGCCCCGACAAACUGACCGGAGCUGUAAACUAAAUUCAGGUGUAACUGAAAUUUAUAUAUCCAAUUCUCUUUCAGUACUUUAAAUGUAAGGAUGCUUCCUGUGAAUCUUAAUGCUUUAAGAGGAUCGAUGGUCUCUCCUUGCAAUUCCACGCUCUGCAUGAUCAGUUUUUCCUCAUUUCUUGAUCAAUGAAUAUCCACUGCAAUCCUGUAUUUGCUUCUUAUUCUCUUAACUAUAGUUUGUCAUUUGAGAAGAACAUCGAAUAAAUUUAUCCUCAAUAAGCGCAACUAAAGGUGAAAAUAGAGAAGAAGAUGUAGAUGGCAUUACAAUAAUAUUCAAUAUCCCCUGUACAUGGCAGUUUUUUUUUUCUUUUGUUUUACAUAGUGGCCCUUCUGACUCAAAAAGGCCAUCUUA